GUCUAUCUUCGGGGCAGGGUGAAAUUCCCUACCGGCGGUGAUGAAUGUAUGCAUUCUAAGCCCGCGAGCCUUUCGGGGCAGGAUUUGGUGAAAUUCCAAAGCCGACAGUAUAGUCUGGAUGGGAGAAGAUGGAG
Molecule: regulatory RNA element, 134 nt
Organism: Bacillus sp. FJAT-27916
Lineage: Bacteria; Bacillati; Bacillota; Bacilli; Caryophanales; Bacillaceae
Rfam family: FMN riboswitch aptamer (RFN element)
About the family: The RFN element is a highly conserved domain that is found frequently in the 5'-untranslated regions of prokaryotic mRNAs that encode for flavin mononucleotide (FMN) biosynthesis and transport proteins. This element is a metabolite-dependent riboswitch that directly binds FMN in the absence of proteins. In Bacillus subtilis, the riboswitch most likely controls gene expression by causing premature transcription termination within the 5' untranslated region of the ribDEAHT operon and precluding access to the ribosome-binding site of ypaA mRNA.
Source: Rfam